Molecule: ribosomal RNA, 254 nt
Filed under: uncultured bacterium
Lineage: Bacteria
Description: partial 16S ribosomal RNA
Rfam family: Bacterial small subunit ribosomal RNA
Source: RNAcentral
UACGUAGGGUGCGAGCGUUGUCCGGAAUUAUUGGGCGUAAAGAGCUCGUAGGCGGUGUGUCGCGUCGGCCGUGAAAACCUGCAGCUUAACUGUGGGCUUGCGGUCGAUACGGGCAUCACUGGAGUUCGGCAGGGGAGACUGGAAUUCCUGGUGUAGCGGUGAAAUGCGCAGAUAUCAGGAGGAACACCGGUGGCGAAGGCGGGUCUCUGGGCCGAUACUGACGCUGAGGCACGAAAGCUAGGGGAGCAAACAGG